UUCCCUACGGGGGGCAGCAGUGAGGAAUAUUGGUCAAUGGGCUUACGCCUGAACCAGCCAAGUCGCGUGAGGGAAGACUGCCCUAUGGGUUGUAAACCUCUUUUGUCAGGGAGCAAUUGGCGCUACGUGUAGCGUUAUCGAGAGUACCUGAAGAAAAAGCAUCGGCUAACUCCGUGCCAGCAGCCGCGGUAAUACGGAGGAUGCGAGCGUUAUCCGGAUUUAUUGGGUUUAAAGGGUGCGUAGGCGGGCUGUUAAGUCAGCGGUAAAAGCCCGGGGCUCAACCCCGGCGAGCCGUUGAAACUGGG
RNAcentral lists this ribosomal RNA (305 nucleotides) under uncultured bacterium. RNAcentral describes it as "bacterial SSU rRNA". It matches the Rfam family "Bacterial small subunit ribosomal RNA", at positions 335 to 637 of the family's 1533-position model. The record is from RNAcentral.